AUCCUUUCUCAGGACGAACGCUGGCGGCGUGCUUAACACAUGCAAGUCGAACGGAAAGGCCCCUUCGGGGGUACUCGAGUGGCGAACGGGUGAGUAACACGUGGGUAAUCUGCCCUGCACUUCGGGAUAAGCCUGGGAAACUGGGUCUAAUAGGGGAUAUGACCACGAGACGCAUGUCUUGUGGUGGAAAGCUUUUGCGGUGUGGGUUGGGCCCGCGGCCUAUCAGCUUGUUGGUGGGGUGAUGGCCUACCAAGGCGACGACGGGUAGCCGGCCUGAGAGGCUGUCCGGCCACACUGGGACUGAGAUACGGCCCAGACUCCUACGGGAGGCAGCAGUGGGGAAUAUUGCACAAUGGGCGCAAGCCUGAUGCAGCGACGCCGCGUGGGGGAUGACGGCCUUCGGGUUGUAAACCUCUUUCAGCAGGGACGAAGCGCUUGUGACGGUACCUGCAGAAGAAGCACCGGCCAACUACGUGCCAGCAGCCGCGGUAAUACGUAGGGUGCGAGCGUUGUCCGCAAUUACUGGGCGUAAAGAGCUCGUAGGUGGUUUGUCGCGUUGUUCGUGAAAACCGGGGGCUUAACCCUCGGCGUGCGGGCGAUACGGGCAGACUGGAGUACUGCAGGGGAGACUGGAAUUCCUGGUGUAGCGGUGGAAUGCGCAGAUAUCAGGAGGAACACCGGUGGCGAAGGCGGGUCUCUGGGCAGUAACUGACGCUGAGGAGCGAAAGCGUGGGGAGCGAACAGGAUUAGAUACCCUGGUAGUCCACGCCGUAAACGGUGGGUACUAGGUGUGGGUUUCCUUCCUUGGAAUCCGUGCCGUAGCUAACGCAUUAAGUACCCCGCCUGGGGAGUACGGCCGCAAGGCUAAAACUCAAAGGAAUUGACGGGGGCCCGCACAAGCGGCGGAGCAUGUGGAUUAAUUCGAUGCAACGCGAAGAACCUUACCUGGGUUUGACAUGCACAGGACGCCGGCAGAGAUGUCGGUUCCCUUGUGGCCUGUGUGCAGGUGGUGCAUGGCUGUCGUCAGCUCGUGUCGUGAGAUGUUGGGUUAAGUCCCGCAACGAGCGCAACCCUUGUCUCAUGUUGCCAGCACGUAAUGGUGGGGACUCGUGAGAGACUGCCGGGGUCAACUCGGAGGAAGGUGGGGAUGACGUCAAGUCAUCAUGCCCCUUAUGUCCAGGGCUUCACACAUGCUACAAUCCCCGGUACAAAGGGCUGCGAUGCCGUAAGGUUAAGCGAAUCCUUUUAAAGCCGGUCUCAGUUCGGAUCGGGGUCUGCAACUCGACCCCGUGAAGUCGGAGUCGCUAGUAAUCGCAGAUCAGCAACGCUGCGGUGAAUACGUUCCCGGGCCUUGUACACAGGGCCCGUCACGUCAUGAAAGUCGGUAACACCCGAAGCCAGUGGCCUAACCUUUUGGAGGGAGCUGUCGAAGGUGGGAUC
This 1440-nucleotide ribosomal RNA is filed under the name Mycobacterium florentinum. RNAcentral describes it as "bacterial SSU rRNA". It matches the Rfam family "Bacterial small subunit ribosomal RNA". Lineage: Bacteria; Bacillati; Actinomycetota; Actinomycetes; Mycobacteriales; Mycobacteriaceae. The record is from RNAcentral.